UGUAUGUAAACUUCCGACUUGAACUGUAUAUACAGAGAAAGAGUCGGCCCGAGAAUUGAACCCUGUGGCACCCCCAUAGAGACUGCCAUUGAAGGAUGUCUGAAAUGCAGUAAAUGGAAUGGUAUCAAACGUGUGUGGUUGAUAUCAUUCCAUCGACUCCAUUCCAGCCAGGAAGGGUGGGAGAACAACGUGAAGGUAAUUUUCUUUGCACUCAACAGCAGCAUCCAAGCCUCCACUGAGUAUGGAUGGGAGCCGCAGCUGUUGACUGAGGUGAACAAUGCAAUUGUGUAUAUACAAUACUUGCGAUAAUUAUAUCUUUCAAAUUUGUGAUUAACUUUGUUUUUAUUUGUCAAUUGCUAUUUUUGAAUAAAGUACUUUCAGAUCACUGAAAGCUCACCUGAUGUGGUGGAAGUUGUCGAACCAGAUCGGAACGCUUUUGAAGACCACCUUCAGGCAUGGACUGAGAAAUAUGUGGAGGUUUUUGACCAAGUGAGACUGAACAUUGUCAAGGUGCAGGAGAAACAGAAGGAGAGCUACCGGGGCAGAAUCAAGAAGGGGGCCAAGUGCUACGACGUUCUGGGCGAAUUACUUGGUUUGGAAGAAGGACAAAAGGAAGGCGAGACCUGGGAAACCUUGCUGCUCUGGGGUCACGAUCUGUUAAGGGUUACCUCGGUGGAAACAAACAAUCUUCUCCAGUUUUAGCAGUUAGACGGUUGACCACUGAAGCACUGACGCCCUACACUUCAGUGAAGCCCAAUAGACAAAGUAUGUUAAGCUUUGGUUGACAUUUGAGAAAGCAAGAAAUGGUAGAUAAAAAUUACCUAUUCAAUUUACCUCUACAAAGGACCAUCGACUGUCUGAGCCCUGCAGGAGGUAUCCCAUCCACCAGAGCCGUUGAGUUCAGAUCAGUCUGAUUCUCUAUGCUCUGAGUCAGAGGGGGACCAGCUUGGGGUAGUCUAUACCUUCCAAAAUUGUUGAAAAGUACAUAUCUCCCAUUUAUAACACUGCGCCAAUCCAUCACAUUUUCUCACAGUACAGUGUAACUUGUGUGUUUGCUUGUUUACGUCUCUGUCUCCUAACCUGUUCCCUUUAAUGCUGUUCCUGUUCUCCAGGACAUAGGGGUUCUGCCUAACAUCCAGACGUGGAUCCACCUGAUGUCCUCCAUUACCAAUCACCCUUCAACUUUUCAUUACAUCAUCUACAGCUACUGUUAUUGUCAUGUCAUUAUCUGCUAAAAUAGUGUUCUUGCUCUAUUAUACUGGGCACAUAAUAUGUGAGAUUCAAAGAUGAACUAAAAACACUAGCACUGCAAACACUCAGAAAGCAGCAGUGCCUGGACUUUGCAGUCUCCCACUUUAAGUCCCCCUUUUCAGACUGACAGGCAGAACCUCCCACCCACACAGCAACCACCUCAAUAUUCCACACCAGAAUUCAGUAUUUUAGUCUGAUUGCCAUGUGAGUGUACAAAAAAAUGGAAAAUAUACUGACACAACUGUACCAAAAAAUCUAAGGGUUUAUGUAUUAAAAUCUUAAAUAUU
Long non-coding RNA from Oncorhynchus kisutch (coho salmon), 1538 nucleotides. RefSeq lists it as uncharacterized. The record is from RefSeq and is a predicted model, not a curated record. The transcript is spliced from 3 exons. NCBI's taxonomy places the organism in Eukaryota, Metazoa, Chordata, Actinopteri, Salmoniformes, Salmonidae.